Long non-coding RNA from Equus caballus (horse), 3280 nucleotides. NCBI's taxonomy places the organism in Eukaryota, Metazoa, Chordata, Mammalia, Perissodactyla, Equidae. The record is from Ensembl.
CGUCAGCAGCUCAACCAUCCUUCCGGCUUUAUCAGCCCAAUAAGAAUCAAAGAAAGGGGCUUUGUUACCCAAGUGGAAUAUUACCAAUGGCUCAGUUCCCAAUCUAAAGCUAGAAAGACAUUUAGUGUCUUUUCAAGUUCUUGUCUAAACUCUCUCUUGAGUUUCAAGUCCUAGAGUCUGCUUUCCUCAUUGAAAAAUUUCCUGGUAUGAAGAGAUGGGACAACGAGCUUUAAAUAACAGCUUCCCGUCCAAGUACAACAUCCAUGGUUUCAAUGGAGGCAGCAACCCCACCUGGCAGUGCCUCAGCUCGUAUGGAUGGGCCAGCACUGGCCAUGAGUUAUCAAGCCAGUGAGUCUGAAUCACAGCUCUAUCCCUACAGGGCAAGACUCAGUACUUAAUGGAAACCAUCACACCAUUGCACUGCGAGAGCUCAUCUAACAUGUUGGCUUUGAGAAGCCUCAAGCCUGAAGUAUUGAACGGUCACCUAGAGCAUGUUCAUUUGAUCUGACAGCGCUAGAGAGGAAUGCAGAGGUGGAAACAAGACAAGGAAAUUCCGAUGCGCACGUAUCAGCCCUGGGAUAGAAAGCCUGGAGAAAAGAUGCAAGACUUGCAUGCCCAUCGCAAUCCAUGCCACAGGUGCUGGAAAGAGAACAGCAACCUUUAGUAAGCAAGCGACUGUGACGUGUCCAAGGAAUUCACCUGCAAACUCUCCAUGAGAACUGUUUACCUUCCCUCCACAUGGCCAUGCACAUCUGCAAUGCUAAAUUGAUGUCGAACCCUCCAGUGCUGCUUUUAGAAGACCUGCCCUUCUGACCCCAGAUCCUUUAUAGAAGACUCAUUUUUCUGUCCACAGGCUUUUAGAAUGUUUUCUUUAUUGUGGUGUUCUGAAACUUCAUGAUAAUGUACCUAGCUAUAAGUCAUUUUGUAUUCAUUUUGCUGGACACUAGAUGUCCCUUUCAAUCUGAAAAGUCAUCAUACAGAUCUAAGAAAUUUUUCUUAUUAUUGCUUUGAAAAAUUUCUCCUCUCAGUCCCGUUAUCAACAGGCUUUUAGGAUUUUUGUUUGUUUGGUUUGAUUUAGCUAUUUUUACUCUCACAGAAACACUCUAAUGAACAUCCUUGGGCAUACUUCCUUGUGCUCAUUUGCAAAUUUUUCUGUGCAGUAAAUACUGAGAUGCAAAGUAGAAUUUCUACAUCAUAGGAUAUGCAUAUUUUCAAGGUUCAUGCAGAAACUGAAUGCUUCCAAUAUGGAAAAAAAGUCUCCAACAUAAAUGGAUAACAUUGUUUAGUGCUUAAUCCCAAUACAUCCACAUCCCAGUGUCACAUUUGCUUUUUAUAAAGCUCACAACUUCAUUUUUGACACUCUCCCCCAGCCAGCCUGUGACUCUCCUCUAUAGAGGAAAGAGCAUGCAGAGCAAGUUCAUAAUCCUAGCUCCACCACUCCCUAGCUGCAAGACUGUGACCAAGACCCUGUCUGAACUUCAGUUUCCUCAUCUGUAAAAUGGACUAUCUACUUCCCAGUGCUGUUGAAAGAUUAAACAUGAUGCAUCCAGCACAGUGCCUAGCACACAAAAGAUACUGAAAAAGUUAAUUCCCUCCCCUUAAUUAUCAAUUCUAUACAUUUGGAGGUAAUGGAAUUAGCAUGUUUGGUCAGAGAUGCAACUUAAAUCCACACCAUAGCUGUAACUGGGAUCUACAAUGAUCCUGACCAGACCUAAGUUUACAUGUCGAAAUCCAGAUGUUGCUUGAAGGUCAUCUAGAACCUACUCCAAACCCCCUCCCAAGAAAUAGAGCCUGGAUAAGUCCCUUUAGAGCAGUCAUCCCACCUUUCAUGUCCGAGCAUCCUCCCGCCCCUUAGACGGGUUUGGGAUGGUUCCCCUUCUACCCUGAGAGAGCUCUAUGUAUUUUAGAUCCAGAACAGGGGCCCCUGGUAAGAGAGAACAGCUUCUGUUCUAGAAGUCCUCUUCCUCUCUCGUUAUCCAUCCAUUUUUAUGCAGCUUCAGGGCACAAAGUGACAAUGAGCUAAAUGAUUACGCUUAUUUGAUUCUAUCACAACUCAGAUAACAAUUAUUUCUUGAGCACAUGGCGUUUUGAGCCUGGUUUUUUAAAGAUAAGUUCCCCUUCCUUCCCCUUCCCCUCCUUUUCUUCCUCCCUUCCCCUCUCUGUGAUAUUGGGCAGCCUGCAGCCCUUGCUUUGCCUCUAUCUAGUUCUCUGUCCAACACCACCAGCAAGGGACAAAGAGGAGAGAAUGUGGUGGCAUCUUCCCUGUUUACUGCUCACGUCUCUACAGCUUUCCCUUGACCCUGCCGCUCCUGAAUAUUCAUAUGGAGUCUGGCAAAGAAACCAGCUCCCCCAGCCUGGUGUUGUAAUUACUAGUGACUAUUAAUUAUCCUCACGCUGAGCAGGUCUUCCUUGACAUAAACAAGCCAAACCAGAGCAAUUUCUGUCAGAGUCGUAGGCAAGAUCAGAGGUCAGGACACUUGGUGAGAAUGGGUGCACAGUGACAAUCUAGAAUUGACUUGAUCAUAUUCUAUGUUCAUGUCUGUCUGUUCAUCUGUGUUUCUUGGCCUAACAAGCCCAGUGGGAUAACCUUUCCACUAACUUACUGGAUAUUUCAGAAAGCAUUCGAAAAACAACCUGGUAAGUGAAGCUGAGUCCCAACUCAGUGUACUGAAAGACCUGGUCUGCAUGAUGCAUUGCUUGGGAAAAAUUUAUGGAGGGUCUAUUUUGUGCCUUGCAUUGCAUGUAGGGUGGGAGGAGAGGAUCCAUGGUACGCAUUCCUCUUUGACUCUCUUCCUCAAAUCUACAGUCUUGUUUAUUUCCACUGCAGUGUGAUUAAAUUCCAGUUUAUAAAAUACAGGCAUAACUUGAAGAUAUGGCCGAUUUGGUUCCAGACUGCCGCAAUAAAGCAAAUAUCGCAAUAUAGUGAGUUACACAAAUUUUUUGGUUUCCCAGAGCGUAUAAAAGUUAUGUUUACACUAUACUAUAGUCUAUUAAGUGUGUAAUAGCAUUGUCUAAAAAAACACAAUGUAUAUACCUUAAUUAAUAAAUACUUUGUUGCUAAAUUGCUAACCAUCAUCUAAGCCUUCAGUGAGUCAGAAUCUUUUUGCUGGUAGAGGGUCUUGUAAAAAAAUCUGUGAAGCAUAAUAAAGCAAAGUGAAAUAAAACAAGGUAUACUUGUGAUGAAAUUUCUUAUUUAUUGAGCAUUUCUGAUGUUUCAUGCACUAUACCAAGUGCUUUGCCUACUUAACAUCCAUUAUCUCAUUUAGUCCUCAUGUAAAGC